RNAcentral lists this ribosomal RNA (488 nucleotides) under uncultured bacterium. RNAcentral's name for it is "bacterial SSU rRNA". It matches the Rfam family "Bacterial small subunit ribosomal RNA", at positions 15 to 507 of the family's 1533-position model. The record is from RNAcentral.
GAUCCUGGCUCAGGAUAAACGCUAGCGGCAGGCUUAACACAUGCAAGUCGAGGGGUAUUGGUUUCGACCAAGAGACCGGCGCACGGGUGCGUAACGCGUAUGCAAUCUACCUUUGCAGAGGGAUAGCCCAAGAGAAAUUUGGAUUAAUACCUCAUAGUAUAGUACUUUGGCAUCAAGGAACUAUUAAAGUCACAACGGCAAAAGAUGAGCAUGCGUCCCAUUAGCUAGUUGGUAAGGUAACGGCUUACCAAGGCUACGAUGGGUAGGGGUCCUGAGAGGAGAUCCCCCACACUGGUACUGAGACACGGACCAGACUCCUACGGGAGGCAGCAGUGAGGAAUAUUGGACAAUGGGCGCAAGCCUGAUCCAGCCAUGCCGCGUGCAGGAUGACGGUCCUAUGGAUUGUAAACUGCUUUUAUACAGGAAGAAACACUCCGACGUGUCGGAGCUUGACGGUACUGUAAGAAUAAGGAUCGGCUAACUCCGUA